This 466-nucleotide ribosomal RNA is filed under the name uncultured bacterium. RNAcentral's name for it is "bacterial SSU rRNA". It matches the Rfam family "Bacterial small subunit ribosomal RNA", at positions 28 to 508 of the family's 1533-position model. The record is from RNAcentral.
GAUGAACGCUGGCGGCAUGCUUAACGCAUGCAAGUCGAACGAGGUCCAUCCAGCUUGCUGGAGAAGACCUAGUGGCGAACGGGUGAGUAACACGUGAGGAACCCACCCCGGAGACCGGGAUAACCCUCCGAAAGGAGAGCUAAUAACGGAUGCCCUCAUCGGAUCGCAUGUUCUGAUGAGGAAAUGGAUUCCGCUCCGGGACGGCCUCGCGGCCUAUCAGCUUGUUGGUGGGGUAACGGCCUACCAAGGCGUCGACGGGUAGCUGGUCUGAGAGGACGGUCAGCCACACUGGGACUGAGACACGGCCCAGACUCCUACGGGAGGCAGCAGCGGGGAAUAUUGCGCAAUGGGCGAAAGCCUGACGCAGCAACGCCGCGUGAGGGAUGAAGGCUUUCGGGUUGUAAACCUCUUUCAGCAGGGACGAUUGUGACGGUACCUGCAGAAGAAGCCCCGGCCAACUACGUGC